Molecule: long non-coding RNA, 2458 nt
Filed under: Cinara cedri
Lineage: Eukaryota; Metazoa; Arthropoda; Insecta; Hemiptera; Aphididae
Source: RNAcentral
CAAUGUGAAAUGUAUGAUAAUAUUUUGUUAAUAAUAUAUUGCGCACGCGUAGCGAACAUAAUACUAUGCCUAUUGUAUUGUUGUAUUUUUUAAGUAGAGAAUAUUGAAAACGGCAUAAUAAUAUAUACAUAUACAUAUAUAUAUAUAUAUCUGUUCCAACUGAAACGUUUACACCGGUCCGCGCGAGCGUUUUCAAUAUUUCCGAAUGAAAAAUAAAAAAAAAAAAUUAAAUAAAUAAAUAAAAACAGUAAGUUGUAAAAACGUAAUCUAAAUCCGCACAACCGCCGCACGUAAAAGCGUGCUAAUGUUUUGUUUCGUUUCCGUUCAUUUCCGUACGCCUAUUUCGCCAUCGGCGGCAAUUAUCGUUGUACAAUAAUAUCACGGAGCCCGUUAGAAGGCGUAACGGGAUUAUUAAAUGACUACGAUCGCGCCGGAAAACGCGUUUUGUCUUGCGAAAAUUAAACGCGGAAGGAGUACUGUACUGUAAUUUCGUCGUGGUUAAAAAUCGCUCCGAACAUUCUGUUUGUUGCCCGACCGAGUUUACAAAUCUGCGCCGGACGUUUCGAUAAAUAAUAUUACCCGGCCGGAGGGUUAGUAUAAUAGAUCUUGACGUUUUCGUCCAAAUCGACCGCAUGAAAUAAUUAUUUAAGCCGAACGAAUACGAUUUUCAUUGACGGGACACGUCUCGUUCAAUAUAAUAUCAAUCAAUAAUAUAAUAUAUCUUUAAACAGAAAAAAAAAAAAAAAAAAAAAAAAAAAACGUGCGAGCUAAAGGCUGAAAACUACAAAAUAUUCCUCACGUUAACUGCAUAUGCGAGUCCAAAAAAGAUUUUCUCAGUCCAACUACGCCCAUAAUAAUGCGUAUUACGACUGCGUGUAUUCAAAAAGUUUCCGGACCGUUUGAAGGGCGCGCCAACAGAGCGUCAUAAAGCACUGGGAUAUCGUUGGCUUUUGCGACUUUUUCUGGCCACGUCUGGUUCUGUACAAUCUACUUCGUUUUAACGUCGCCGGUAUGUUUUUAUAAUAAUUCAAAAAAUAAUAAUAACAAAACAAAAUUCGAUCAACCGUUUGUAACCGAACACCUCCACACAAUAUUAAAUAUUUAUUUAAUUUUUUACUAUCGCCUUAUUUAGACCCCCUUUUCCCUUGUAUACAAUCGAUUUUUUUUUCUUUUCCUAUUUCUACGUCUAAUCAUUUUAUAAUAACAUAUAUUAUAUAUAUAUAUAUGCAUAUAUCAUUAUAAUUUUGUACAUGUAUAUGAAUCCAAAAUUUUUGUUACCAAAUUAUAUACUAUUACCAAUACACUGAUAUUAAGGUGACUGAUGAACGGUUUUUUUUUUCUUUUGGCUAAAACAACGUUAACCGUUUUUAGUUUUAAUUUUUUAGAAAAUUAGUCAAUUUAGACGUAUGAGAUAAAAUAUUAUUGUUAUACGAGUAUUCAAAAAAUCUCCACAUAAUAAAAUAGAGUAAAAAAAAAAAAAAAAAAACUCUACAUAAAGCCUGGCAAAUAAUGCUGGUGAUAGUUGCGAAACACGCAAUUGCUAUCGUGAACAAUUUUCGUUCAUUGAAGGGCGAUAGUAACUAUCGUGAACGCAACUAUCGCACACCAUCGUGCAUGAUAUUUGAUAGUUUAUAUCGUGAGAAUAAUAGUAACUAUUGCUGACACGUUCCUGGCGUUCUGUUUUAAUUUCGUACCCUAGACUCUGUAGCUAAUAUGGGUUAAUAUUGAAGGCCUUUAUUAUAGCUCCGAGUAUUGGGAGGCGUGAUCAUGCCAAACGAAAAUAGAAAGAUGGACUGAUGCGUGAGAGAGAACCAUACUCUGUCCCGAGGUCCUUUACACCACAUUUGGUUUAUUCAUCUGUCUAGCCUCAGGAUCACGACUGGCACGCGUCAUUAUACUGAGUGUUCCAUCUAGUCGUAUAAUAAGUCUAAUAUGACAGUAUCGCACUUUAGUAGACGUUUCUGUCAAAAUGCACACGGACAGGUAUCACACGGCGACGUACUCAAGUCCCCCUCCCAAAGAGGCCUAUAAUCCAGACAUUGUUAUGUUUUUUGCAAUAACUUGUUACACAAAAUACAAAAUGCAAAAUUUUAAGUCUGAAACGUUUCAUAUAAUCAAUAAUUGUCCGUUUAUUAUUUAGGAUGUUAAACGUUCGUGAAAUUAUAUGAUAUAGUUUUUAUCAGCUAUGAUUUUUUUCUAGGCGUGUUUAACAAAUACCUAUUCAUAUCAUUGUCCAAAUAAAGAUUCUACUUACGUCACUGUUAUAGCUUUUUAUACAAUUCUACGGACGCUGUAUCUGCGAUAAUUACUAUCGCGACAAUUUUGACGCCGACCACCCACGGUAUGACUAUUACAACUUUGAUCACGUUAACCUGGCUAUAAUGUAGAAAUAACAGAAUAAAUAUAUAUAUAAAAUAUAUAAUUUUAGACGUUUUUGGUUUGUCUGUGAUAACUUAAU